Molecule: ribosomal RNA, 330 nt
Filed under: uncultured bacterium
Lineage: Bacteria
Description: bacterial SSU rRNA
Rfam family: Bacterial small subunit ribosomal RNA
Source: RNAcentral
CGAGUAGGCGGUGGAGUAAGUCUGGGGUGGAAUCCUACGGCUUAACCGUAGAACUGCCUUAGAAACUGCUUUACUUGAGUCAGUGAGGGGAGGGCGGAAUUCCUGGUGUAGCGGUGAAAUGCGUAGAUAUCAGGAGGAAGGCCUGUGGCGAAGGCGGCCCUCUGGCACUGUACUGACGCUGAGGCGCGAAAGCGUGGGUAGCAAACAGGAUUAGAUACCCUGGUAGUCCACGCCCUAAACGGUGGGCAUUAGGUGUAGGGCUCGUAAGGGUUCUGUGCCGAAGGGAAACCAUUAAAUGCCCCGCCUGGGGAGUACGGCCGCAAGGUUGAA